ACAACCACGUGAGCGAGAGAGAAACCACAGGUGGAGGCUUCCAUCCUCACCCAUGGGCCAUGCUGCCGCUCGGUGUCAAACGGGGCUGGGUGAUUCGCCGGAGGCCACUGAAGCUGUUCUUGGCAGAGGAUGGCGGCCGGGAACGCUCCUAUGCGAUAGCAACCGUGCCCCGCGACAACUGCAUGCGCGCGGCCGCACCAGCACAAUGGAUGUCACAAAGGACCAGUCGGAUGCGGGACCUCUCCGCGGCCGGGACUCUCGUGAUUGCGCGGGCUCUGAAACUGGAGAAGAACAGGUGAUUCAGGAGGAGCCACGUAUCGAGGAGUAUGAUCUGAUCUAGGUGGCGUUUCUCAGUUGACAUUGGCG
Molecule: unclassified non-coding RNA, 366 nt
Filed under: Zea mays
Lineage: Eukaryota; Viridiplantae; Streptophyta; Magnoliopsida; Poales; Poaceae
Description: misc RNA Zm00001eb143830
Source: RNAcentral